AAUAACGCAGACGAAAGCUGCGCUAAACUACCGCAUACGAUCUGAGGAUAGAAGCGGGGGACCGUAAGGCCUCGCGCGAUCGGAGCGGCCGAUGUCAGAUUAGGUAGUUGGUGGGGUAAAGGCUCACCAAGCCGACGAUCUGUAGCUGGUCUGAGAGGACGACCAGCCACACUGGGACUGAGACACGGCCCAGACUCCUACGGGAGGCAGCAGUGGGGAAUUUUGGACAAUGGGCGCAAGCCUGAUCCAGCAAUGCCGCGUGCAGGAAGAAGGCCUUCGGGUUGUAAACUGCUUUUGUACGGAGCGAAAAGGCCCUCUCUAAUACAGGGGGUUCAUGACGGUACCGUAAGAAUAAGCACCGGCUAACUACGUG
This 373-nucleotide ribosomal RNA is filed under the name uncultured bacterium. RNAcentral's name for it is "bacterial SSU rRNA". It matches the Rfam family "Bacterial small subunit ribosomal RNA", at positions 142 to 507 of the family's 1533-position model. The record is from RNAcentral.